Molecule: ribosomal RNA, 402 nt
Filed under: Thermoproteota archaeon
Lineage: Archaea; Thermoproteati; Thermoproteota
Description: partial 23S ribosomal RNA
Rfam family: Archaeal large subunit ribosomal RNA
Source: RNAcentral
CUCGAUGUCGGCUCUUCCCAUCCUGGUUCUGCAGCAGGAGCCAAGGGUGGGGCUGCUCGCCCAUUAAAGGGGAACGUGAGCUGGGUUUAGACCGUCGUGAGACAGGUCGGUCUCUGCCUGACAGGGGUGUAGUUGUUUGAGGGGAAGUUGCCCAUAGUACGAGAGGAACAGGGCAGCGCAGCCUCUGGUUUAUCAGUUGUCCGACAGGGCAGGCUGAGCCGCUAAGCUGUUUAGGAUAACUCCUGAAAGCAUCUAAGGAGGAAACCUUUCCCGAGAAAAGACAGCCUUCUUUACAGAGAAGGGCAGCUAUAGAAGAUAGCAUUGAUAGAAUGGAGGUGUAAGCAUCGAGCUUUUUGCGAGAUGUUCAGCCUGCCGUUACUAAUAGCCCAACGCACCUGAUUA